CUGGUUGAUUGGCUUGUGGAGGUCAGGGUAGUUUCAUUAAUGAAAUUUAUUGCUAUAGUGAAAGGCUAUUUAAUUCUUGAUGGUGGUUCCUCAAUAUCCUAUUUGGGUCCAGUGGCUUGGGUAGGCAGAUAAACUGGUGCACUCCGCUUUCCCUAUACCUCUUACUUCCAUGUUAAAGUUGGGUUUGGGUUCCAUAUUUAUGCUAUGAGUCUAUGACUGUAAGAAACUUACCAGUUGAACCACAAGGCACCCACACCUUGCACACAUCCUGUCAGUGUCAACCAUUUAUCAGUUGCUUUUUUUCCUGAAUUUUUUUUAUUGCUUUCCCACAUGUUCACAGAUUUUCUUGAUUUACUUAGAUGUAGGAGCUCUUAUUAUAGUUUCAAAGUCUUCCCUUCUCAUUUCUUUCAUUUUCCCUAAGCUUUUAUGUUAAAAGAUUAUCCCAUCUUUUCAGCUUCUUCCAUCUGGACAUAGGGGCUUUAGAAAAGAAGAUAUCACCCAGUUUUAGUCCCUCAAAAUCAAGGCAUGACCUUUCAGUGUUUUUGCAUGCAGUAACCACCCACUCACAAAUCUCUAACCCAUGUGUUUAGACAGAGCCACAGUGGGGCCUUUGUUGUGUGUUUACUUUUUUGCAUGACUUGCCACAAAGUGUCGGUUAUUCUGAUUCUUGAAUUUGGGAAUAAGUAGAGACCUGCUAUUUUCCUCAGAAUUUGUCUAAUGAUAUUCUUCUCUCAGAUUUUGGCAGUUUAGUCAAAUACACUGGUAAACUUUAAGACAAGAGACACAAUUUUGGUGGUCUUCUGGAUUGUUCAUUAAACCAGGGUAUUGUUUUGAGUGCCAGUGCGUUGUCUUAGUUUUUUCUAACUCAUUUCAUGCAUAAGAUGAGGAUAAUCUCAAUAAUAGCCCUUUAGGAUUAUUGCACUAAAAGGUAUCAUGUAUAUGUGUUUAGAUCCUCUCAGUGCAAUGUCUGUCUCCUUCAAACUUUUGCUAAAGUGUACUUGUGGUCUCUGCUUCUUUAGACGUCUUAUAUAUUGGAGGUAUUCACCUUAUAUUUCAAUGGGAAACAACAACGUUUUCAUGAUAAGAUAUUGGCACUAUCAAAAUUUUAGCAAGUUACGGUUUGUGCAAUAUAUUCAAUUAAAUAUUUAGUUGUAUUUUACUUUAAGAUUUUAAGCCUGUUGUCUACAAUGACUCUUGGUUGACAUCCAACUGCUGUCUGUUCCCUGUUUUCUUUUCAGUUUUGAUUCACUUAGACUAUAUAAGUUGCUCUCUAAAAAGUCAUAAUACUGUCAGCAAUUGUAAUUUGUAAUUUGGAUCUUCAAUUGAUUAUGUUUUGUUGCAAAUAUUCAUGAAGAGUAUAACUUUUCUUUUAAAAAAAAACUUGUUUGCCUUCUUCGCAGUUAUACUGUUUAUGUUUAUGUGUUUUUAAUCUGUUUUUGAACUGUAAUUAUCACUCAUAAAGCAUUAUCAGGUCAGUUGCACUCUGGAUUUAAGUUUCUGUCUGAUCAUUCUGUCUCAUUGGAAUGUCAAAUUAACAUCCUUGAACUCACAGUUUUGACAAGAAAUCUGAAUUUCGAAAGAAAUAAUUGACAUGUCAAAUUUAAUCUUGAUUUUCAGCAUGUCAAAUUUAAUCUUGAUUUUCAGGUGUCUGAGGAAUAUAAGUUGGUCCCUGAUACACUUUACCUCACAGUCUAUCUCAUAGAUUCGUUCCUCUCUCAAAAUUACAUUGAAAGGCACAGGCUUCAACUACUUGGUAUUACCUGCAUGCUGAUUGCAUCCAAAUAUGAAGAAAUUUGUGCUCCACAUGUGGAAGAAUUUUGCUUCAUUACUGACAACACAUACACAAAGGGUGAGGUACGUCAUGGUUUGUUAGUUAACUAGAAUGCAUGCAUACUGAAAUAAAAGUUCUCCCCUUUUCAGUUUUACCUUUGUGGUCCCUUAAACAACUCGAUUACUCUUCAAUGCUUUUUUUCAUUGCAUCACUCUUUUUCUCGAUGUGAAUUGUUAUCUUUUCUAUAAUUAAGAAGUUAUUAUAUGCUAAUGUGGGGAUAUUGAACAUAACUCUUGGGAUCAUGCAGAUUACUUGAUACAUCAUUUAGACAAAACAUAAAUAGGCAAAAAGCAAAAACAAAUGGGAUAGCUGUUCCAACAAUGUCUUGAACUUGGGAUUCUUCAUUCUUUUGACUGUGGUUUCUGAAUUGCUGAUUUCCAUAUUUGUUGGUAAUUAGAUUUCUAUUUGUAAUACUCAAUUAUACCAUUAUUCAUUUAUAAAAUUCUAUUUGUGAUACUUGUCUAUACCAUAUAUGCAAUAGCUAUGCAUGGCAGGAACGAUUCUUGUAACUUUAUGGUUCCUGAAUUGCUGAUUUCAAUCGGCUCUUGAAAGUAAAUCUGUGCUACUAAGCCAUAUGAAGUAUUCACUAGCCCUGCAUACUGGGGUGUGUCUCAAUGUCGUUGCAUAACCCAUUAACAUGCAUUGCACGUGGAUAGAAGAUGAGAAAAUCUAAUGAUCUGAAGGUUCAAGGGGACCAGUCCCCUGUAGAAUUAGGAUAUUGCAUCCCUGAGGAUUGGGGCAUCAAUAUUAUUAAUACUUAUUUGAAUUUUGACAAUAUAAAUGAAAAAGAAAACAUUUGGAGGAUGAAAGACAUUCUUCGCAUAUUAGUUGUCAUAUUCACUUGUGUUCCUCCCUGUUGCAAAUUUCAAUAUUCGCGGUUGCAUUCCUGAUGAAAAUAAACUGCAGGUGUUAAAGAUGGAAAGUCUAGUGUUGAAAUAUUUUGGCUUUCAAAUAUUUGCUCCUACUGCAAAAACUUUUCUUAGGUAUCGGCUUAUCUAAUGUUUCACAACUAUAUUAUUAAAGCUCCAGAUGUCCUUCAAAUAUUUUAUAAUGCAAUGUCUUGUUAAAACUUUUGGUUUUCAGGAGAUUCCUACGUGCAGCACAGGCUUCUAUCGAGGUAGUGCAGUUGGUUUACUUUGUUGUAUCCAAGCUUUUUUCUAACAAGCAUUUUUAAUUUAGAAAAAAGAUUUUAUUUUCAUAAAUAAUUUCAAAUUUGCAGAGCCCUAGUUAUGAACUGGAGUACUUGGCCGAUUAUCUAGCAGAACUGACAUUGAUUGACUACAAUUUCUUGAAUUUCCUUCCCUCAGUCAUUGCUGCGUCAGCUGUAUUUCUCGCUAGAUGGACACUGGACCAGACAAUCCAUCCCUGGAAUCCAACUCUAGAACACUACACUUCCUACAAGGCAUCAGAUAUUAAAACCACAGUUCUUGCAUUACAAGACCUACAAUUGAACACCAAUGGGUGUCCUCUUAGUGCUAUAAGAAUGAAGUAUAGGCAACAAAAGUUCAAAACUGUGGCAACUUUGUCUUCUCCAAAGCUUCUUGAAACAUUAUUCUGAAGACAAGUUCAUUGGUUGUACGUUAUUGAAAGUGGUUCCCUCUGGACCAUCAAUUCCGUCUUGAUGUUGUACGUGAUAUCUAAUCAGAACCCUCUUUCCUCAUUUAUAUAAAAUUUCUGAUCUUUAUUCUUCCCCCCUCCCAUCUCAAACUUUGUUUAUAGUUUUUUGAGACUUCUGUUGGUUUUGGUACAUCUGACCUGUGGUUGUAAAGCUAUAUCUGAGAAUAGGGUUGUCAUGCCACUAAGCUAGAAUUCUAAUGUAAUCAAUAUUCUUAGCACGUCAGUCACCAGGAAAUUUUUCGGUAGAUUGUAAAGGUUCAGAAACAGAAUGUAACCUGUUGAAUGUAACUUUGGCAGCAUUGGCCCAGCAGAAUUAAUUGUGUUUUCAUCUUUGCAACUCUUUAUCAGGUUGUAGCUCACUUUUAUCUUUUCAUAAUGGUUUCUUGUCUAUUCUUG
Molecule: unclassified non-coding RNA, 3844 nt
Filed under: Hevea brasiliensis (rubber tree)
Lineage: Eukaryota; Viridiplantae; Streptophyta; Magnoliopsida; Malpighiales; Euphorbiaceae
Source: RNAcentral